UUGCGCAGGGCCGUCCAAUAGGGCGCAGUAUCGUCCCGACCGUCGUCGCGUGCGCACGUUUUCGUUGUGUCUGGACUUGCAAAAACGCGCGUAAAAUCAGUCGCCGUCUCGCCGCUUCCCCUGUACGCUCGCUCACAUUCGGUGUCCUUGCGAGGGUAAGAUCCACACGAGACGCGUCUUCGCUAUCCAGCCUCCUACUUCCAUCGUUCUCUCUCUUUCUCUUUUUCUCUCUCUUUCCCUCUCUAUCUCUCUAUCUCUUUAUUUUUUUCUUUCUCUCUUUUUCUCUCAUUUUGUUUCUUUCCCUCUCAAUCUCUCUCCGUAUCUGCUUCUAUAUUCUCUAUAAUUUUUGCAUCCCCUCGCGCGGGUUUUCUUAUACUAUAUACUUGCGCGCCGCAUAAACAACAACAGAGAGCGCGAAACCGCCUACGCACGAGGAUCGUGGAAAGUGUGCGCUGCGACAAAAACGACAGAGCCGGAAAUCGAUUGGAGGACGAGCUAUAUAUUCUACGGAGAGCAUCCUAUUGGGUAAUGUCCGCCUGGAUGAAAUUCAUCAGUAUUAAGCGGCACGAUCACCCUCGAUGGACUCAAUUCUAAAAUUUAGGACGUUGCGGUCGAAGCGUUGCCUUGAGGUUUGAGGACAACGACAGGACGACAACGGAAGGAGAAGUUCGACGAAGGAGGGCGUGAGAGGGACUUUGAUCUCGGCUCUACAUCGAUGGAGCCGUCCUGAUGCAGACCGCGAAACUACGCGGGGAUUACCCGGCCUGGUCGUCGGGUUAAUUCCACCGACGGACCCCGACGAUCUCAGCGAGGAGCGAGCCACGCUGCUCUCUCAUCCCCGUCGACGGCGAUAGACCCAGCCACUUCCACUUCCUCCACCCCACGUGGCCGCACCAUCACCUGAUAAGAGAAACCAAGUACGAAAA
Molecule: long non-coding RNA, 926 nt
Organism: Ooceraea biroi (clonal raider ant)
Lineage: Eukaryota; Metazoa; Arthropoda; Insecta; Hymenoptera; Formicidae
Source: RefSeq, a predicted model, not a curated record